UGCAACGGCACCGGGUCAACUACUGUCUUUAACACUGUCAGGAUAUCCCCAUACUGAUUCACGAAACCCCCCAGACGAUCACUGGUCACAAGACUGCCCAACUCAAUCAGAGGUGUCAAAGGCUCCCGGUGAAAAACGUAGAUACAAGUCUUCCGCUUCAACUCUGGGACUGUUGCCAUCUCUGUCAGUGAACAAGCUCUGGAAUGUACCUGAGAAAUGAUAUGCAUGCAGGGAUUAGUUUUUUUCUUUUUUUUUUCUUUUUUUUUCUUUUUUUUUUUGCGUUUCUUUUUGAAAAUAAAUAUGCUAUGAUGCACAUGAUGCAGACACAACUGACUGGCGGUGCAUCUCUGAUCACAAAGUCGAAGCUUCGGUCUAAACUCAGAACCCAAAUCCAACUUGAAAACCCAAGGUCAACUGAAUAUACUGUUGUCUGAACCCAAAGUCACCAACAGAACCAUAAGUCACCAACAGUACCUGUAAUGAUGAACCCUUCCCCACUCACGGGUGUAGUCUAGGCCAAGGUAAGGUCAAGAGAAACGCAGGAUAAACAACCCUUUCAAGAAUAUCAUCCUGUGCACACCCGAUGUAUGCACCGAUAAUACCCCAUCAGAGUCUGAACUGCUCGUGAUAUCAAUGUUCCGCUAAGUGGCGUACACCACCCGCUUCCCAUGAAUCACUCUAUUCCUAGGUUUCCUAGAUUUC
This 702-nucleotide long non-coding RNA is filed under the name Lathyrus oleraceus (garden pea). Its description in RNAcentral is "Pisum sativum (pea) long non-coding RNA (PSAT_LNC017710)". The record is from RNAcentral. Lineage: Eukaryota; Viridiplantae; Streptophyta; Magnoliopsida; Fabales; Fabaceae.